This 484-nucleotide ribosomal RNA is filed under the name uncultured bacterium. RNAcentral's name for it is "partial 16S ribosomal RNA". It matches the Rfam family "Bacterial small subunit ribosomal RNA", at positions 30 to 507 of the family's 1533-position model. The record is from RNAcentral.
AUUGAACGCUGGCGGCAGGCCUAACACAUGCAAGUCGAGCGGAUGAAGGGAGCUUGCUCCUGGAUUCAGCGGCGGACGGGUGAGUAAUGCCUAGGAAUCUGCCUGGUAGUUGGGGAUAACGUCCGGAAACGGGCGCUAAUACCGCAUACGUCCUGAGGGAGAAAGUGGGGGAUCUUCGGACCCCACGCUAUCAGAUGAGCCUAGGUCGGAUUAGCUAGUUGGUGGGGUAAAGGCCUACCAAGGCGACGAUCCGUAACUGGUCUGAGAGGAUGAUCAGUCACACUGGAACUGAGACACGGUCCAGACUCCUACGGGAGGCAGCAGUGGGGAAUAUUGGACAAUGGGCGAAAGCCUGAUCCAGCCAUGCCGCGUGUGUGAAGAAGGUCUUCGGAUUGUAAAGCACUUUAAGUUGGGAGGAAGGGCAGUAAGUUAAUACCUUGCUGUUUUGACGUUACCAACAGAAUAAGCACCGGCUAACUUCGUG